AAUGAUUACAACUGUGCCAAUUUCUCUUUCAAACUGAAGUUGGCUUAGUAAUUUGAGUGUGGCAAUAAAGUGGAUCAUUGUGAUUUAUUUGAAGUUGAUAAAUUCAAGAUCAUAUAUCUGAGACACCUCCUUGAAGAACUUGCUCUUAUUACAGUGCUUUUGUAUUGUUCUGGCAGGUUUAGAUUUUCCCCUUUUUUUAUGCCCCAAAGUGCUAUUUUCUGAAAUCAGCGAUCAAUCAAAUUUUCUACAAGAGUUUCACGCCUGUUUUGUUUUCUAUGUCUGAUCCAUAUAUCACGUCUGCUUCGGCUAUUUAAGUCUCGGGUUACCUGGCAUGUGAAUAUAUAAUCCUUUAUGGAAAGUGGUAGAUUGUAAUAAUUGAGAUGACUGAUUGGCUUGUAAUUUUAAUUUGUUACUAUUGUUAUAUUAAUGCCCAGUCAAGAGCUAUGCGGGGCUUGCAGUUUGAGUUUACUUG
RNAcentral lists this unclassified non-coding RNA (472 nucleotides) under Hevea brasiliensis (rubber tree). Lineage: Eukaryota; Viridiplantae; Streptophyta; Magnoliopsida; Malpighiales; Euphorbiaceae. The record is from RNAcentral.